RNAcentral lists this long non-coding RNA (225 nucleotides) under Elaeis guineensis (African oil palm). RNAcentral describes it as "long non-coding RNA (EGUI_LNC040558)". The record is from RNAcentral. Lineage: Eukaryota; Viridiplantae; Streptophyta; Magnoliopsida; Arecales; Arecaceae.
GUAAGUACCACUGAAAGAUCGUAAAGACCAUCCUUAAGUAUUUAAGAAAUACUAAGGAUCAGUGACUUAUCUAUGGAGAAUCCAACUUAAAACUUAUGGAGUUUACAGACUUUAAUUUUCAGUCGGAUCAUGAUGACAGUAACAGCAUGUUGUUGGAAAUAGUGUCCCAAAGCCAAUCGUCAGCCUGUUGACGGUUGUGCUUCUUUUUGUAUUAGUACAUGAAUU